UUACGACUACAUAUCAGGCAUAUCAAUAAGCGGAGGAAAAGAAACUAACAAGGAUUCCCUUAGUAACGGCGAGUGAAGCGGGAAGAGCUCAAAUUUGAAUCUUCAAGGUUCUACCUUGACGAAUUGUAGUUUAAAGAAGUGUUUUCUGUUAAAUGAGUAGCAAAAGUUCCUUGGAAUGGCACAUCAUAGAGGGUGAGAAUCCCGUAUUUGGUUAUUCAUUCUAGCUUUGUGAUACACUUUCAAAGAGUCGGAUUGUUUGGGAAUGCAGUCCAAAAUGGGUGGUAAAUUUCAUCUAAAGCUAAAUAUUGACGAGAGACCGAUAGCGAACAAGUACCGUGAGGGAAAGAUGAAAAGAACUUUGAAAAGAGAGUUAAACAGUACGUGAAAUUGUCAAAAGGGAAGCGUUUGACACCAGUGUUGUUUUUCCGAAAAUCAAUUACGAAUGGCUUGAUUUUGUGUUGUAUUGACCUUAUCAGCUUUCUUCACUUUUUUCGAGUCUUUCUUAAUGCACUUUUCGGUUAACAAGUCAACAUCAAUUUCUUUUGUUGUAAAAGAGUAUUCGGAAGGUGGCUUUCUUUUCGGAGAAAGUGUUUAUAGCCCUAUACUUCUACAAUCGGAGAGAUUGAGGUCUGCAGCGUAGAUCCUUCGGGGUUAGAUACACUUGUGCUAAGUUGUAGCUUUUCAUAGACAACUUGUUGACUAUGUUUAGUCAUGCGGCUUACUCGCUUAUGCUAUUUUACCUACGCUUAGGAUGUUGAGUAGCGACAUACGCAC
RNAcentral lists this ribosomal RNA (774 nucleotides) under uncultured Neocallimastigales. RNAcentral describes it as "partial large subunit ribosomal RNA". It matches the Rfam family "Eukaryotic large subunit ribosomal RNA", at positions 24 to 649 of the family's 3401-position model. The record is from RNAcentral. Lineage: Eukaryota; Fungi; Neocallimastigomycota; Neocallimastigomycetes; Neocallimastigales.